Molecule: long non-coding RNA, 2655 nt
Organism: Eriocheir sinensis (Chinese mitten crab)
Lineage: Eukaryota; Metazoa; Arthropoda; Malacostraca; Decapoda; Varunidae
Exons: 4
Source: RefSeq, a predicted model, not a curated record
AUGUAGAGGGAAAGAGUGGGUGAAUAUAAUUAUCUCGGUCUAACUUAUACUGUUUAUUAUACCGCUAUUCGCAGCAAUAUCUUUCUCUGCUCCGAUUGCAACGCUGCCUCGUUCAAAAAUCAUAACACCGCCGCGGCCGCCACGUUUAUCAGCCGGAGCCUCAAAUCAUGUCCCUUUGUGGUGAAAAAGAGGACGUAGCCUGGUGUGAAGCUACAUUUACUACGGAAGGAUGCCAGCCGGGGAUCCAAACACGUUCGAUAUCAUCCAAGAGAAUGUGGCAGAUGAAGGGGAGAGUCCAAGAAAGAGGCCAAGGGUGAAGACAUUUAGCCACCCCCUGAAGUACAUGGCAGCAUCCAACCCUCUUGCUAUAUAGGCUGCAGGAAUGUGCUCCCCAUUGCAGUGCACCAGCUCCAUGUACUGAUUUUGGAUGUGAACUUGAUGGGGUUGGAGGAAACUCGACUCGGCCAUCAAGCUCACGACAAUAUAACAUGAAAAGUGAAAAUUGCUGCACAAAACAGUCUUUCGUCUGCACCGGGAGGCAAGGCAGCUCAAAGCCCAGGCUAUUACAGCUCCUGGGCAGUUUUUGCCCAGAGCCAGCAAUUUUUCAGAUCCAAUAGGGGUGGAUUUUUUCUAAGGUCAGGUUCAACAUGCUGCAAGAUGCCAAGAUCUAAGCCUAGUAGGAGAUAUGGGUUACAAGAGAGGAGGUUUGCUCUGGCCUUAUACUAUCAAAGUCCAAAUGCUAAUAGAUUUCUAAGCACAGUAUUUCACUUGCCUUCAAUUUCAACACUUCACCCAUGACUCAGGGGUAUUUCAGUAAAUGUUGGCUGGAGCAAACAGACUCUUACAGCCCUGCAGCAAAGAGCACAGGCUUUGUCAAAAGAAGAGAUACUUCGUGGGAUUUGCCAUUAUUUAGUAUUACUCUUGUUACGCCAAUAAUUUUUUCCAUAUACUUUGCCAAAUAUUGCAAGUAAUGCACCAUUGUUGGUCUUGCCUGUUAUAAAUCAGAUCUUGUUCAAUUAACAACCUUUGGGUGUCUGCCACUUUCCAGUUGUAAUGCAAGGAAUCAUUUAUCUCCCCUGCCAGAUAUUACAUGUAAUGCACCAUUGUUGGUUUUGCCUGUUAUAAAUCAGAUCUUGUUCAGUUAACAAGCUUUAGGUGUCUGCCAUGUUCCAGUUGUAAUGCAAGGAAUCCCCUGCCAGAUAUCGCAUGUAAUGCACCAUUGUUGGUUUUGCCUGUUAUAAAUCAGAUCUUGUUCAGCUCACAAGCUUUGAAUAUCUGCUAUUGUUUAUUUCAGGUGUAAUGCUUGGAAGCAUUUGUUCUCUCCCCUACCCAACAGUAUGCAAUGCUUUAUUGUGGAUUUUGCCUGUUAUGUUUAAUCUUGUUCAGGUAACAAUCUUUUGGUGUCUGCCUUACCUAAUAAUGUGCUGCAGUGACACUUGGCUUGGUUUCAUGAUGUGAAAUUCAGCAUGUAAUUUCAUCACACUAAGUGUCUAUCAUCACAUGUCUGGCAUCAUUAAUGUGGCUUCCAGGAGUAAUCUUGUUUGUAUUACAGCAUGCAAUGUUUUUUUCUGAUUUAUAUGAUAUACAUAAUAACAUAGGUAUGAUUUUUUUUGACAAAAUGUAAUGGCAGUUGAUAUUCUUGACUAAUGCCUCAUAAACCUUUUGAAAAAUAAUGCUUUUUUGAGGGGGGUGGGGUGGACAGAGAUUGGAUUGUUUGGAUGGCCAGUUCAAGGAGUUUCAUAUCAAAUGAUUUUAUUACAUCCAACUUUAAUGUGUGCUAAAAACAUAUAUUUUAUUACAUCCAACUCUAAUGUGUGCUUCCUGCAAUAAAUGCUACAUGUUUACUGAUGUAGCCUAUGAAAUACAUAUCACUCUCUGCCCUGUAAUUUGGUGUGUCACAUAAUGCAGCAUAACUUUCCUGAUAUUUUAUUUCACUAUGAGUUGCCUUAUUUUGUCUCAUUUGCUUUUAUCAUAUGUGCCUCUGCUGCAUAGUUGUGCAUACUGAGCUUAAUAUCUUCAUGACCCUGACACCAAGGUCAGAGCUUGAGAUCAUACCGUGCCCUACAUCCCAUUUUCACCUCCAGGCUCGGCUGUCUCCCAGGACCACCAAGUUAUUGCAUUCCAUUUAAGACAACUCAUGUGUUACCUUCUUGAUGUCCUCCAUCAUGUAUUUCAGCAUGUUUUAUGAUGCUUUGCUCUUAUAUUGAUGUGCCUUGCAACAUUUUUAUACAGUUUUUAUUGUAUGUAAUGCACCAUUGUUGGUUUUGCCUGUUAUAAAUCGGGUCAUGUUCAGUUAACAAGCUUUAAGUGUUUCCCAUUGUUUAUUUCAUUUGUAAUGCUUAGAAGCUUUUGUUCUCUGCCCUGUCAUACAGUGUGCAAUGCUUGCCAUUAUCUGGCACUUGUACAGUUAGUAUGAUAUUUUCACUCAGCUAAGAGCAAGUUGCAAAAGGCAAAGGUACGGUUGGGGGCAUACACUGUAGCAGCAUGUGGCCUCGGUGCUCAUCUCCGUAACAUUGGCCCUUGAGCCUGUGGUGUUAGGGAACCCAUUACCCUGGGACACAGGACCAGUGUGACAUCCGGGUUGCAAAGGCAUUAUAAUAUUCUAGCAUGCAUAGAAUGCUGUAUGCUUUGCUUGUAUUUAAAUCACUGGAUAUG